AUGAAGCAAACAAAGCAUGUCUCUCUAUUGCCAAAUGUCAAGUGCCAACCUGUCCUCUAUUUGUACAAUACAGUGGAAUGGCAGCCUCUUGUGGCAAGUUCAGUGUCACCUGUUUCCCCAAUUCCGGUAUGUUGCUCCCUCUGUAGCCACACUUCUUCCACAAGUUGCUCGACGCGGUCUGUUGCUCCCUCUGUAGCCUACCGCUUCCUCCGUAUUGAGGAGUCUGGGGCCAACCUGUUGGCAGAUUUGGGUUCAGACAGAGUUCCUCCAUCCAGAGAAACGUGUCUUGGUAUUUUUGCGAAGCUAAUGGCUCCUGCAUCUGACCACAAAUUCCAAUGUCAUUCAGGUUUUUCCUCUCAACAUGUGGACCUAAACUUGGAAGAAUUCAUGAUUCAAGGUGUAUCAUGGCUGCUCUGGACGAUAUAG
This 426-nucleotide ribosomal RNA is filed under the name Triticum aestivum (bread wheat). RNAcentral's name for it is "partial small subunit ribosomal RNA". The record is from RNAcentral. Lineage: Eukaryota; Viridiplantae; Streptophyta; Magnoliopsida; Poales; Poaceae.